CCUACGGGAGGCAGCAGUGGGGAAUAUUGCACAAUGGGCGCAAGCCUGAUGCAGCCAUGCCGCGUGUGUGAAGAAGGCCUUCGGGUUGUAAAGCACUUUCAGCGGGGAGGAAGGCGUUAAGGUUAAUAACCUUGUCGAUUGACGUUACCCGCAGAAGAAGCACCGGCUAACUCCGUGCCAGCAGCCGCGGUAAUACGGAGGGUGCAAGCGUUAAUCGGAAUUACUGGGCGUAAAGCGCACGCAGGCGGUCUCUCAAGUCGGAUGUGAAAUCCCCGGGCUCAACCUGGGAACUGCAUUCGAAACUGGCAGGCUAGAGUCUUGUAGAGGGGGGUAGAAUUCCAGGUGUAGCGGUGAAAUGCGUAGAGAUCUGGAGGAAUACCGGUGGCGAAGGCGGCCCCCUGGACAAAGACUGACGCUCAGGUGCGAAAGCGUGGGGAGCAAACAGGAUUAGAUACCCUAGUAGUC
This 465-nucleotide ribosomal RNA is filed under the name uncultured Klebsiella sp. Its description in RNAcentral is "bacterial SSU rRNA". It matches the Rfam family "Bacterial small subunit ribosomal RNA", at positions 338 to 795 of the family's 1533-position model. Lineage: Bacteria; Pseudomonadati; Pseudomonadota; Gammaproteobacteria; Enterobacterales; Enterobacteriaceae. The record is from RNAcentral.